Molecule: ribosomal RNA, 381 nt
Filed under: uncultured eukaryote
Lineage: Eukaryota
Description: partial 18S ribosomal RNA
Rfam family: Eukaryotic small subunit ribosomal RNA
Source: RNAcentral
CAAUAGCGUAUAUUAAAGUUGUUGCGGUAAAAAAGCUCGUAGUUGGAUUUCUACCGAAGAUAGCCGGUCGGGUCUUCGACCUUGUAUCUGGUUUUGUCUUUGGUAUCCUCAUAGGGAACGUUUCUGCGCUUUAUUGCGUGGUGCGGUAUCUAUGACUUUUACUUUGAGGAAAUUAGAGUGUUCACGGCAGGCAAACGCCUUGAAUAUAUUAGCAUGGAAUAAUAACAUAGGAUCUUCGUCCUAUUUUGUUGGUUUCUAGGGCUAAGAUAAUGAUUAAUAGGGAUAAUUGGGGGCAUCUGUAUCAACGCGUCAGAGGUGGAAUUCUUGGAUUGCGUUGUGACAAACUACUGCGAAAGCAUUUGCCAAGGAUGUUUUCAUUGA